Molecule: ribosomal RNA, 398 nt
Filed under: uncultured bacterium
Lineage: Bacteria
Description: bacterial SSU rRNA
Rfam family: Bacterial small subunit ribosomal RNA
Source: RNAcentral
GAUGAACGCUAGCGGCAGGCUUAAUACAUGCAAGUCGAGGGGCAGCAUGGUGUAGCAAUACACUGAUGGCGACCGGCAAACGGGUGCGGAACACGUACGCAACCUUCCUUCAAGUGAGGAAUAGCCCAGGGAAACUUGGAUUAAUACCUCGUAACAUUGUGAAGUGGCAUCACUUUAUAAUUAUAGCUCAGGCGCUUGAAGAUGGGCGUGCGACUGAUUAGGUAGUUGGCGGAGUAACAGCCCACCAAGCCUGCGAUCAGUAACUGGUGUGAGAGCACGACCAGUCACACGGGCACUGAGACACGGGCCCACUCCUACGGGAGCAGCAGUAAGGAAUAUUGGUCAAUGGACGCAAGUCUGAACCAGCCAUGCCGCGUGGAGGAUGAAGGUCCUCUGGA